AUCCAAUCAGCUGGAGGCCUGCAUAGAACAAAAACACAGGUCUUCCUGAGCAAGAGGGGCUUCUCCAGCAUAUGGCCUUUGGACUUCAUCUAUACCAUCCGCACUUCUGGGUCUCCAGCCUGCUGGCCCACACUACAGAUUUUGGACUUCCCAGCUUCCAUAAUCAUUGACUCAGAGAUGAUUUCCUCUUCAGAAAACAGAAGAAUUUUCUGACACAUUUAUCCAGAUUGGAUGAUAUGGAGAUGAACACCAGGACUAUUUUAGAAACUGCAUGUUGAAGACCACUGAGAUAUAAAACUUAGAAAAAAAAAGGUUCUGAAUCAAUGCCUUGUGAAGACAGUUGCACAGGGUACCACCAGGCUGAAAUCCAGGUGUUCACCAGGACUUUUCUUCACCUGGAGGCCCAGCUGGAGAAGAAUCUGCUUCCAAGCUCCAUCAGACUGUUAGAAAAUUAACUUCCUGUGGCUAUAGGAUUCAUGGCACGUUGCUUCUUCAAAGCCAGCAAUGGAAAGAGUCUUCUGCUCCAAGAAUGACAUGUAGUCACUCAGAAAGGGAUCAUAUGACUAGGUAAUGUCCACCCAGAAUAAUAUCGCUUUUGAUUAAGUUAAAGUCAAUCGAUUAGAGGCUUGAAUUGCAUCUGAAAAAUGUAUUUUCUUUACCGUACAACAUAAAUUAGAGUUCAGUAUGGAUUAGCAAGAGGAAUCUGCAUUUUCAAAGAUGUUUGGAAACCAGUCUUUCUCUAUCUUUGUCUCCACCUACAUUUAAGUUCUUUGAAGUCUUUCCACACAGCUACAAAUAGAAAAAGAGAAUUACAAAUUAUCUAUGGGAGAUUUGUUAUUUAAUGGGUCAGUUCUAAGCAUUAAGCAAGUUAAUCCUACUCACAUUUCACUGGCUGGAUGUCACCUCUGUGUAGUUGCAGGGAAGUUGUAAAAUGUAGUCUAGCUGUGUGCCCAAAAAGAGAAAAAGGUGGACAGUGUUCUCAGUUCUCAGUCCACCCUUCUGAUCACUGCCAAAGCAUCUGUUUCCCUUGUCUCGCCCACAGCAAAACUCUCAUACCUUUCCCAAGAGAAUCAAGCUGGAUAUUUCACAUCCCAAUGCAUCCUGUUCAAAAUCUAAUAUGGAGCAUCUCCAAGAGGUGCUCAGCUUUUCCAUCAGAUCUGGAUAGGUCUUCCUAUCAUUCAAUAAUUUAUUUUAAAGAAAAAGAAAUUGUCUAUCCUCCAAUCUUCCUCAAUUUUGAAGAAAUUCUAAAUCAGAAAGUGAAUGAAUGAGAAACCACAGAAGAAACUGGUCUGCAGCAAUUUGGAUGUCCCACUGAACAGGCUUUAUGAAGGUCAUCCACCCUGAGAAAGCAGGUGCAUUUCCUAAUUAAAUCCUGUUUCUGCUCUUUGGAAGAAACAUCGUUGUCCCUUGUUCUUUAUGGAUAUUUGCUCUAUCCUCUGGGAGUAUUUUCUUGUCCAUUUUCCAGGGUGCAUAUUUCAGAUCUGACAGGUUUCUGUAAAUCUGUAAAGUCCAUUUCUGCUGGUAUACAUAUGGAGUCUUGAAGGCUAUUUUAUUUUUAUUUUUGAGAUGGAGUCUUGCUCUGUCACUCAGGCUGGAGUGCAGUGGCAUGAUCUUGGCUCACUGCAACCUCCGCCUCCAAGAUUCAAAUGAUUCUCUUGCCUCAGCCUCCCAAGUAGCUGGGAUUACAGGCAUCCACCACCAUGCCAAGCUAAUUUUUGUAAUUUUAGUAGAGACAGAGUUUCUCCAUGUUGGCCAGGCUGGUCUCAAACUCCUGGCCUCAGGUGAUCCACCCACUUGGACUCCCAAGGCGCUGGGAUUACAGGUAGGAGCCACUACUCCUGGCCUUGAGAGCUGUUUUAAAUAUCAAAAAUGAUGGUUUCCAGUUUCAUCCAUGUCGCUGCAAAGGACGUAAACUCAUCCUUUAUUAUAGCUGCAUAGUAUUCCAUGAUGUAUAUGUGCCACAUUUUCUUUAUCCAGUCUAUCAUUGAUGGGCAUUUGGGUUGGUUCCAAGUCUGGAAACCUCAUUCUCAGCAAGCUAACACAGGAACAGAAAACCAAACACUGAAUGCUCUCACUCAUAAGUAGAAGUUGAACAAUGAGGACACAUGGACACAGGGCAGGGAACAUCACACACCAGGGCCUGUCGGGGUGUGGUAGGUUAGGGAAGGGAUAGCACUGGGAGAUGAUGGGUUGAUGGGUGCAGCAAACCACCAUGGCUCGCGUAUACCUAUGUAACUAACCUGCACGUUCUGCACAUGUAUCCCAGAACUUAAAGUAUAAUAAAUAAGCAAACAUCAAAGAAUCAAGGGCUGUUUGGUAGUAUUUUUACAAUAUGAUUUAUCCCCAAAGUAAGAGGGUUAUAAUCUACUUGUUCCUUCCUUCCCCAUGCCUCUUACUUUCCACUUAAUGGGUUGACAUUCUGAGGCACAUUGCAUAAGCCUUCUCAGAAGGUCUUGUUUUGAUUGGCACCUGUCACACACAGCAGUGGCCUCUGUCAUUAUAUAUCUUAGGUUGGAACUUUCUGCUUGCCUGCAUUGUUUUCCUAGUCUUUCAUUCUUACUCAAAUAAGACACCCAAACAUAAAACUGUCUCAGGCUCUGCUUUCAAGACAACUAAGCUGAGACACUACUUUUUGCAAAAAUGCUAAAUCUUCAAGGAUCUUUGUCAAUCCAAGGCUUUUUCAAUCUUACUUCCUAUUUUGAGGUCUCAGAAGUGGUGAUUUUACCAACCCUUUAAGGUCCCAAAUGUCUGAACUGCCGCUUGUCUCUUUCUUUUUCUACUUAUAAAGUAGCCAGUUAUUGACUAACAUCAUCAUUUUCUUUUAAUACUUUCCUAAGAUCAGCCAAUAUAAAGCAACACACAUCGUCACCCCAACUCCUCCUGGUCACUCCUUUAGAGCUAUAUUCUCAGUCAACUCAUGUAGUGCUCCCAAAUUAAGUCAAGCAACAGUUUUAAUUGAAACUUUUAUUAAGAUAAUUGUAAAUUCACAUACAAUUACAAUAAAUACUACAUAGAUAUAAUUUCUAUGCUUCUCUCAGUUUCCUCCAAUAGCAAUAUUUUGCAAAACUAUAUUAAAUAUUGCAACAAGGACUUUGAGAUUUAUACAGUCCACUGAUUCAAAUCGCCCCAGUUUUACUCUAUGCAUAUAUGUGUAUAUCAAGUUCUCUAUAAUUUUAUCACUCUUGUAGGCUCAUGUAUCUACCACCACAGUCAAGAUACUAAGAAGUCCCAACACCGCAAAGAUCCUUAUUUUGCCUUUUUACAGCUAUCCCCAUAAUUAUACUUUUUCCACCCUGCCCAGCUCUGUCACUAACUCCUAACCACUAAUCUGUUCUCCAUUUUUAACAUUUUAUCAUUUCAAAAUGCUGUAUACAUUUAAUAAUACAGAAUUUAACCUUUAGGAAUUUACUCUUCAUGGAGCAUAAUUCUCUGCAGAUUCACCCAAGUUGUUGUUUAUUCAUCCUUAUUGCUGCAUAGUAUUCCAUGCUACCUACGUACUAGAGAUUGUUAACCAUUCCACUGUUGAGGGACAUUCAGACUCAUUCAUAUUUCUGGCUAUUACAAAUAAGGCUAAUAUGAAUACUCAUGUACAGGUUUUUGUAUGAAAAUAAGUUUUCAUUCCUUUGGGAGAAAUGCCCAAGUAUGUAACUGUCUGGUCAUAUGGUAAAUUUAUGUGUAGUUUUAUAUGGAACUGUCAAACUGUUUUUCAGUGGGUAUAUUAAUAAACAUUCCCA
Molecule: long non-coding RNA, 3734 nt
Filed under: Homo sapiens (human)
Lineage: Eukaryota; Metazoa; Chordata; Mammalia; Primates; Hominidae
Description: HSALNT0144563
Source: RNAcentral